RNAcentral lists this ribosomal RNA (497 nucleotides) under uncultured bacterium. Its description in RNAcentral is "partial 16S ribosomal RNA". It matches the Rfam family "Bacterial small subunit ribosomal RNA", at positions 28 to 507 of the family's 1533-position model. The record is from RNAcentral.
GAUGAACGCUGGCGGCGUGCCUAAUACAUGCAAGUCGAGCGAACGGACGAGAAGCUUGCUUCUCUGAUGUUAGCGGCGGACGGGUGAGUAACACGUGGAUAACCUACCUAUAAGACUGGGAUAACUUCGGGAAACCGUAGCUAAUACCGGAUAAUAUUUUGAACCGCAUGGUUCAAAAGUGAAAGACGCUCUUGGUGUCACUUAUAGAUGGAUCCGCGCUGCAUUAGCUAGUUGGUAAGGUAACGGCUUACCAAGGCAACGAUGCAUAGCCGACCUGAGAGGGUGAUCGGCCACACUGGAACUGAGACACGGUCCAGACUCCUACGGGAGGCAGCAGUAGGGAAUCUUCCGCAAUGGGCGAAAGCCUGACGGAGCAACGCCGCGUGAGUGAUGAAGGUCUUCGGAUCGUAAAACUCUGUUAUUAGGGAAGAACAUAUGUGUAAGUAACUGUGCACAUCUUGACGGUACCUAAUCAGAAAGCCACGGCUAACUACGUG